UACGCAGGGUGCAAGCGUUGUCCGGAAUUAUUGGGCGUAAAGAGCUCGUAGGCGGUUUGUCGCGUCUGCUGUGAAAAUCCAGGGCUUAACCCUGGACCUGCAGUGGGUACGGGCAGACUAGAGUGCGGUAGGGGAGAUCGGAAUUCCUGGUGUAGCGGUGAAAUGCGCAGAUAUCAGGGGGAACACCAAUGGCGAAGGCAGCUCGCUGGAACGGUACUGACGCUGAGGCGCGAAAGCGUGGGGAGCGAACAGG
Molecule: ribosomal RNA, 253 nt
Filed under: uncultured bacterium
Lineage: Bacteria
Description: partial 16S ribosomal RNA
Rfam family: Bacterial small subunit ribosomal RNA
Source: RNAcentral